GGAAGUAGCAAAUAUUCAAGUGGGAUCCUUGAAGACUGAAGUGGGGAAGGGUUCCAUGGUAACAGCAGUUGGACAUGGGUUAGUCGGUCCUAAGAGAUAGGGAACCUCCCUUAAAAGAACUCUCUUGUU
Molecule: ribosomal RNA, 129 nt
Filed under: Melampsora larici-populina 98AG31
Lineage: Eukaryota; Fungi; Basidiomycota; Pucciniomycetes; Pucciniales; Melampsoraceae
Description: eukaryotic large subunit ribosomal RNA
Rfam family: Eukaryotic large subunit ribosomal RNA
Source: RNAcentral